AGUGAACGCUGGCGGUAGGCCUAACACAUGCAAGUCGAACGGCAGCACAGUAAGAGCUUGCUCUUACGGGUGGCGAGUGGCGGACGGGUGAGGAAUACAUCGGAAUCUACUUUUUCGUGGGGGAUAACGUAGGGAAACUUACGCUAAUACCGCAUACGACCUACGGGUGAAAGCAGGGGAUCUUCGGACCUUGCGCGAUUGAAUGAGCCGAUGUCGGAUUAGCUAGUUGGCGGGGUAAAGGCCCACCAAGGCGACGAUCCGUAGCUGGUCUGAGAGGAUGAUCAGCCACACUGGAACUGAGACACGGUCCAAACUCCUACGAGAGGCAGCAGUGGGGAAUAUUGGACAAUGGGCGCAAGCCUGAUCCAGCCAUACCGCGUGGGUGAAGAAGGCCUUCGGGUUGUAAAGCCCUUUUGUUGGGAAAGAAAAGCAGCAGGAUAAUACCCCGCUGUUCUGACGGUACCCAAAGAAUAAGCACCGGCUAACUUCGUG
Molecule: ribosomal RNA, 492 nt
Filed under: uncultured bacterium
Lineage: Bacteria
Description: partial 16S ribosomal RNA
Rfam family: Bacterial small subunit ribosomal RNA
Source: RNAcentral